GCAAGCUUGACCCACUCUCCCCGCAGACGAGCAGGCAGCUCACCCUGGGCGGCUGGAUCGGCCACCCACACGAUUACCGGCUCUGCCACAGAGCCAGUUGGGGCGGCGGGGAUCAGGGGCCUCCCCGGCCCCUGGGAGUCCCAGCAUGCUCUGCAAAAGUGCCUGGGGCAUUCUGGAGAGUCCCCUGACGCCGGGAGUCUUGUUGUAACCUCCUCAUCAGGGGCUUGCUCGUGAGUUGCCGCACAGCAGAGCCACGCCGCAGCAACACACAAUCAGAUGGUGAGCCCUUAGGGGACAGGGAACCAACUUAUUUAUUUAUUCAUAUCUGUCAGGCAGUGGACUGACUCAGAAGAUUCUGAGGAAGAAUUGUCUGAUUCAUCGCCCCCUGAGGGGACCCUGCUGCAGGGUGCUGAGGAAGAAGCCCCUCCUACGGAGCACUCACCUGCUGUAGAACAGCAGGAGGUUGCUCAGGAGCAGUGCUGUCCUCAGAUGGGGAGGAGCCAGGACCAAGCAGCAGACUGCUGAGCCACAUGGAACACCGAAGAGAAUGCAGAAAGGAGCAGUGUGUUGGGCAACAUAGAAGCAGCUGGUUGGCUGCAAAGUCUGACAGGGGUGGCAUCUGAACUUUCAGCCCGAAGGCAGGUGGGGGCCUUAAUCGGCUUCACCUGGUGUAGUACCUUGAAGAACUAUAAAGCCAGACCGCCCCCUUUAUACCAUGCUGGUUUCAAUGGAUCACUUUGGCAUGUAGAUCUAGUCUCCAGCUCCCGUAACCCUUGUGCUGUUUAUUCUUAAACCCUAACCUUGGUCUGGAUAUCAAUGUGUGACUUUCUCUGGAACCCUUGGACCUCGGAACUGGUGAUUCGACACUUCUCCUGGCGACGACCCUGCUUUGGACUUGGCAUUGACUACGAUUGAUGGACUGGCGAGUUUAGGAGGUUACAACAACAUGAAUCGAAUUAUUGUAACAUCCUUCUCUGGUUAACUCAGGAUAGUAAGUGAAGAAAGACGAAGGCUUUGUGCACAUUUUCUGUAUUACCGAUCUGUUCUAAGAUAUUAGGACUGUGUUACAAAGGUGGAGAGAGCAAAUACUGUUUUUAUGGUUACGAAUAAAAAUGUUCCAAUACACUGAUUCUGAACAUAUUUACAUGGAAAUAA
This is a long non-coding RNA of Hemicordylus capensis (graceful crag lizard), 1155 nucleotides long. RefSeq lists it as uncharacterized. The transcript is spliced from 3 exons. The record is from RefSeq and is a predicted model, not a curated record. NCBI's taxonomy places the organism in Eukaryota, Metazoa, Chordata, Lepidosauria, Squamata, Cordylidae.